UCCUCGGUAGUAUAGUGGUGAGUACCCGCGUCAGAUCCGGGUUCAAAAUCCGCGUCAGACCCGGGUUCAAUUCCCGGCCGGGGAG
Non-coding RNA from Cooperia oncophora, 85 nucleotides. The record is from the annotation of a GenBank genome assembly. Lineage: Eukaryota; Metazoa; Nematoda; Chromadorea; Rhabditida; Trichostrongylidae.